Molecule: ribosomal RNA, 253 nt
Filed under: uncultured bacterium
Lineage: Bacteria
Description: partial 16S ribosomal RNA
Rfam family: Bacterial small subunit ribosomal RNA
Source: RNAcentral
UACGUAGGGUGCAAGCGUUGUCCGGAAUUAUUGGGCGUAAAGAGCUUGUAGGCGGUUUGUCGCGUCUGCUGUGAAAUUUCGGGGCUCAACCCCGAACUUGCAGUGGGUACGGGCAGACUAGAGUGUGGUAGGGGAGACUGGAAUUCCUGGUGUAGCGGUGAAAUGCGCAGAUAUCUGGAGGAACACCGGUGGCGAAGGCGACAUCCUGGACCGGUAUUGACGCUGAGGCGCGAAAGCCAGGGGAGCAAACGGG